GGCCCAACAGACAAAACCCCAAUAUGGAUUAGUGCAGGGGAGAAGACUCUGGCAACAGGGUGUCAGUCCACAAGGAGCUGAGUAGAAAGGUAUUUUACAGAGGAGGAUAACCUUGUCCAAACCCUAAUAUGUGUUUUUUCAAAAGAGCUUGCAACCUUUUGGAACCCAUGUAAUAGCAGAAGUCUAAAGUCAGUGAAAGGAAAUGACUGACCCAGGGUCUGUCUGUAAGUUGGGGCUGUAGAAAUCUGGGUUUUUCCAUUUCUGACUCUCUGUCUACAAAUUUUCUCUUCUUCCAUUCUCAUCAGGUCUGGAACAGGAACAGCUUCAUAUAUAAGAAAAAUACCAGCUGGUUUUCCCUGGGUCCUCCCAGAUCAAAGCUCUUAGCGAAAGCCCAGAGGAGAGAUGGGGCCGAUUCUCUAUGGGCCGCGGCUAGAGGGAGGCUCAUGGCCUCCCACCCAUGCAUCUGAACGUGUUCCUCUUUGCUCCUCUCCUGCCUGGCAUGAAAGAUAAAAAGAUGGCACACUGCUGGCACUGUUACCUUAGAUCUAUUGCCUUUCCAUUGGGCUGGCUGAAACGCUGCGGACUGCGACCAGUCUCUUAAAAAGAAGAACAAAAAGAGGAAGACCUUGAGUGGACCCCAGGACAAAGCACUUUGGGCUCGGCAAGAAGGGACGCGCGGGAGCGCUGGCUCCGAACCGGAGUGAUCUCGGGUGCCCAAGAGCGCCCAUCCAGCGUGCGGACCUCUGAGGGUAUUCGGAUUGAAUUUUAUUUAUCUUUUUGGCAU
This 784-nucleotide long non-coding RNA is filed under the name Vulpes vulpes (red fox). Its description in RNAcentral is "lncRNA (ENSVVUG00000002518.1)". The record is from RNAcentral. Lineage: Eukaryota; Metazoa; Chordata; Mammalia; Carnivora; Canidae.